UUGUAGCCUGCUAUGGUAUAACUUAGUGGCAGACGGGUGAGUAAUAUAUAGGAAUCUACCUAGUAGUACGGAAUAAUUGUUGGAAGCGGCAACUAAUACCGUAUACGCCCUACGGGGGAAAAAUUUAUUGCUAUUAGAUGAGCCUAUAUUAGAUUAGCUAGUUGGUGGAGUAAUAGCCUACCAAGGCAAUGAUCUAUAGCUGAUCUGAGAGGAUGAUCAGCCACACUGGAACUGAGAUACGGUCCAGACUCCUACGGGAGGCAGCAGUGGGGAAUAUUGGACAAUGGGCGAAAGCCUGAUCCAGCCAUGCCGCAUGAGUGAAGAAGGCCUUUGGGUUGUAAAGCUCUUUUAGUGAGGAAGAUAAUGACGGUACUCACAGAAGAAGUCCUGGCUAACCCCGUGCCAGCAGCCGCGGUAAUACGGAGAGGGCUAGCGUUAUUCGGAAUUAUUGGGCGUAAAGGGCGCGUAGGCUGGUUAGUAAGUUAAAAGUGAAAUCCCGAGGCUUAACCUUGGAACUGCUUUUAAAACUGCUAACCUAGAGAUUGAAAGAGGAUAGAGGAAUUCCUAGUGUAGAGGUGAAAUUCGUAAAUAUUAGGAGGAACACCAGUGGCGAAGGCGUCUAUCUGGUUCAAAUCUGACGCUGAGGCGCGAAGGCGUGGGGAGCAAACAGGAUUAGAUACCCUGGUAGUCCACUCUGUAAACGAUGAAUGUUAAAUAUGGGAAGUUUACUUUCUGUAUUACAGCUAACGCGUUAAACAUUCCGCCUGGGGACUACGGUCGCAAGAUUAAAACUCAAAGGAAUUGACGGGGACCCGCACAAGCGGUGGAGCAUGUGGUUUAAUUCGAUGCAACGCGAAAAACCUUACCACUCCUUGACAUGAAAAUCAUACCUAUUC
RNAcentral lists this ribosomal RNA (896 nucleotides) under Wolbachia endosymbiont of Formica cinerea. RNAcentral's name for it is "bacterial SSU rRNA". It matches the Rfam family "Bacterial small subunit ribosomal RNA", at positions 73 to 1002 of the family's 1533-position model. The record is from RNAcentral. Lineage: Bacteria; Pseudomonadati; Pseudomonadota; Alphaproteobacteria; Rickettsiales; Anaplasmataceae.